This 466-nucleotide ribosomal RNA is filed under the name uncultured bacterium. RNAcentral's name for it is "partial 16S ribosomal RNA". It matches the Rfam family "Bacterial small subunit ribosomal RNA", at positions 28 to 505 of the family's 1533-position model. The record is from RNAcentral.
GACGAACGCUGGCGGCGUGCUUAACACAUGCAAGUCGAACGGAAAGGCCCUGCUUUUGUGGGGUGCUCGAGUGGCGAACGGGUGAGUAACACGUGAGUAACCUGCCCUUGACUUUGGGAUAACUUCAGGAAACUGGGGCUAAUACCGGAUAGGAGCUCCUGCUGCAUGGUGGGGGUUGGAAAGUUUCGGCGGUUGGGGAUGGACUCGCGGCUUAUCAGCUUGUUGGUGGGGUAGUGGCUUACCAAGGCUUUGACGGGUAGCCGGCCUGAGAGGGUGACCGGCCACAUUGGGACUGAGAUGCGGCCCAGACUCCUACGGGAGGCAGCAGUGGGGAAUAUUGCACAAUGGGCGGAAGCCUGAUGCAGCAACGCCGCGUGCGAGAUGACGGCCUUCGGGUUGUAAACCGCUUUCGCCUGUGACGAAGCGUGAGUGACGGUAAUGAGUAAAGAAGCACCGGCUAACUACG